CACCCCCAGAAAUCGCACCUGAAAUCUCUUGUUCUUUUUUACCUAUUUUAUUUUUCCCAAACCAUUUCUCCCUUACCCCAAUUCCCUUUAUUUUUUCCCCCCAAUUUCCCCAAAUCGGCAGCCCUCUGCAUCUUCUCAAAGGGUUGUAGCAGAAGGAGGUCUCGAACUAUCAGGUCAGGUGGUACAGAUUCAUGGAGUCCUUACGGAUACCCCACGCCACCACAAUCUGCAUAUCGUCAACAAAAUUAUUACUACACGCCGCAACACCCUAGUUAUGCACCAUCACCGUCAUAUAAUUAUGUACAGCAAACUCCUAGGUGUGUACAUAGGACUAUGGAGAGGAAAUACUCAAGGAUAGAUGAUAACUACCAGACAUUGGACCAGGUUAGCUUCCUGUUCUGCUAUUCUUUUGAGUUUUUAUCUGUUUUGUUCUUUUGUAUUGGUUAAUAUGGAGAGGAAAUACUCAAGGAUAGAUGAUAACUACCAGACAUUGGACCAGGUUAGCUUCCUGUUCUGCUAUUCUUUUGAGGAAAAAAGUGAUGAUGUGCAUUGUUCUUUUAAUCUCCAUUACUGUUGCCAUGUUGUUGUCAGUAUCAUGUUCUUGAUUAAAAAAAUUCCAUGUUAAAUUCUGUUGAUUCCCUUCAUGAAUGUUUUUAAAAAAAAUCAAAGAAUAAUUUCCCAUAUUCUUUAUGAAAAUUCUUUUGUUUCGAAUAAUUCAUGACAAGUGAUUUAAUACCAAGCAUUGGAAAUAAAUUAAAAAAAAAAAAACACAUGAACUGAUGGUUGGUUUUCAAACAAUUCUUACAUCAAUUUGCUUCAUGUUCUAAUCAAGAUAUGCCUGAUUCUUUGAUUCAUUAUGCUAGAUUUAUGAACUUGUUGUCAAUAUCUGCUUCAAUUUGCGUAGGCAUGCAAGCUUAUCAAACCCUAUGUUUAUUCGAGUUCGAAGGGGAAUAUUAAAUAUACGUAUACGUCAGUUUUUUCAUAUAUUUGAAUGAUUGUAACAUCAUAAAUGCUCGGAUAAUAUAGCAUGAGCGUGACAUUGCUGGUUUUUACGGAGUUUUCUGUCAUUUAACCAAAAAUUAUCAGUCCAAAUAAAAUCAGAUUUGAAUCCUUUUACGAUCUCGAUUUUGUUCUUAUUCUUAACCUUUAAAUAUAUAUAUAUAGAGAGAUAAUAUUUGAUUAAAAAUUCUUCAGUAAGUAAGUAAAUUUGCAUGCAUGCAUGUUCUGACUCUUAUAAUUUACCUUCUUUUCAGUUUCCAAAUUCAUAAGUAAAACAAGAGUAAAACAGACCUGAUCAAUCUGGUUUUUGGCUUUGAAUGAUUCCAACUAUGAUCAACCUUGAAAAUUCAGGUAUUUUUUUCUGGGGAAACAAACAGAAACUAAACCCAGAAUUUGUAAGUGUUUUUCAAUGAGGCAGUUUUGUACAAUGGAAUGAGAUCUUAUAAUUAAGAAAAUAUAUCUAAAAUAGAUGAUGUUUAUUGCCUGUAAGGUACAAAUUGCGGAAAAAGGGAAGAAAAUUAACAUUGAACUUUGUUGGUUGGCAGCAACUCUUAUAGCUGUUCACUGUUUUCUUUUAAUUUUUUUUAAAAACAACUGUUUAAAAUCGAUUUAUUGUUUGAAAGAAUUGGAUUCGAGUAUUCCUUCUGCAAUUUUAAAGAAAAAAACAUUUCAACCAUGAAUGAUGAGAUAAUAUUGCAUUGGAAUUAAAGAAUACACUAAUAACAUGUUUGCUGGCUAAAACUCUCCCUAUAUAAAGAGAGCCUUGGGUCAUUAUUUUUCACACACUUGAAUUCAAGAGAAAGUUGUAGAGAGAAAAUUCUAUGAAGAGAUUAUUUCAGCAAAUUUCUAGAGAUAUUUUUUUGAUUUAUAAUUUGACCUAAAAGUUUAGAGAAAUUGUGAAAUUACCCCACUGGUAAUUUUUGUGAAAAUUUUUCUGAUUUGAAGCAAACCUAUACUCAGCAGACGUGAGCUUGAGGAUAGCGGAGAAGACUACUUAGUCGAAGCGCUCAUCCUAAACGAAUCUAAAAGGUCUAUCUCAAGAAACCUAUAUCAACAAAGUUUUAGAAAGAUUUCGGAUGAAAGAUUAUUCAUUGAGUGUGGCUCCUAUUGUGAAGGGUGAUAAGUUCAAUUUGAACCAAUACCCAAAGAACGAAUUUGAGGAGCAAAUGAAAAACAUUCCAUAUGCUUCUCUUGUUGGAAGCCUAAUGUUUACUCAAGUCUGCACAAGACCUGACGUUGCAUUUGCAGUUGGAAUAUUGGGAAGAUAUCGAGUAAUCUAGGUAUUGACCAUUGGAGAGCUGCAAAGAAAUUUUUCAGACAUCUUAAUGGGACAAAGGACUACAUGUUUACAUACAAACGAUCAGAUAAUUUGGAGGUGAUUGGCUACUCUGAUUCAAACUUUUCCGACUGUGUUGAUUCACGUAAAUCAACAUCAAGUUACAUAUUUAUGUUUGUUGGCUUUGCUAUAUCUUAGAGGAGCGUCAAGCAAUCCUUAACUGCUACUUCCACUAUGGAGGCUGAGUUUGUUUCAUGUUUUGAGGCUACCUCAAAUGGAGUAUGGUACAAGAGUUUCAUAUUUGGGCUUAGACUUGUGGAUUCGAUUUCUAGGCCAUUAAUGAUAUAUUGUGACAAUUCAACUGUUAUCUUUAUGGUUAAAAAUAACAAAAGUCAAAUUCGAAGUAAA
Gossypium raimondii (Peruvian cotton) is the source of this 2683-nucleotide RNA transcript. It is a transcript of the gene named secreted RxLR effector protein 161-like, with no coding region annotated. The transcript is spliced from 2 exons. NCBI's taxonomy places the organism in Eukaryota, Viridiplantae, Streptophyta, Magnoliopsida, Malvales, Malvaceae. The record is from RefSeq and is a predicted model, not a curated record.